GACGAACGCUGGCGGCGUGCUUAACACAUGCAAGUCGAACGGUGUAACAAGAGCUUGCUCUUCUGGAUCAGUGGCGAACGGGUGAGUAACACGUGAGUAACCUGCCCCAGACUCUGGAAUAAGCGCUGGAAACGGCGUCUAAUACCGGAUACGAGACAGAGCUGCAUGGCUACUGUCUGGAAUGUUCUUCGGUCUGGGAUGGUCUCGCGGCCUAUCAGCUUGUUGGUGAGGUAACGGCUCACCAAGGCAACGACGGGUAGCCGGCCUGAGAGGGCGACCGGCCACAGGAGGACUGAGACACGGCCCAGACAGCAACGGGGGGCAGCGGUGGGAAAUAUUGAACAAUGGGCGGAAACCCGGUGCAACGACGCCGCGUGGAGGAUGACCGCCUUCGGGUUGUAAACCUCUUUCAGCAGGGAAGAAGCGAUAGUGACGGUACCUGGAGAAGAAGCACCGGCUAACUACGUG
RNAcentral lists this ribosomal RNA (468 nucleotides) under uncultured bacterium. RNAcentral describes it as "partial 16S ribosomal RNA". It matches the Rfam family "Bacterial small subunit ribosomal RNA", at positions 28 to 507 of the family's 1533-position model. The record is from RNAcentral.